GAGGAACGUCCGGGCUCCACAGAGCAGGGCGGUGGCUAACAGCCACCCGGGGUGACCCGCGGGACAGUGCCACAGAGAGUAGACCGCCCACCGCAUCCCGGUGAGCAAGGGUGAAAGGGUGGGGUAAGAGCCCACCAGCGCGACGGGCGACCGCCGCGGAUCGGUAAACCCCGCCCGGAGCAAGACCGCACAGCUGGCGACUGAAGGCUGCUCGCCCAAGUCAGCGGGUAGGUCGCACGAGGCCGUUGGCAACAACGGUCCAAGAUGAAUGGUCGCCACCGCCCAGUCCGGUAACGGCGGGCGGCAACAGAACCCGGCGUA
RNAcentral lists this RNase P RNA (321 nucleotides) under Actinomyces sp. oral taxon 170 str. F0386. RNAcentral describes it as "RNA component of RNase P". It matches the Rfam family "Bacterial RNase P class A", at positions 43 to 351 of the family's 367-position model. From Rfam's summary of the family: Ribonuclease P (RNase P) is a ubiquitous endoribonuclease, found in archaea, bacteria and eukarya as well as chloroplasts and mitochondria. Its best characterised activity is the generation of mature 5'-ends of tRNAs by cleaving the 5'-leader elements of precursor-tRNAs. Lineage: Bacteria; Bacillati; Actinomycetota; Actinomycetes; Actinomycetales; Actinomycetaceae. The record is from RNAcentral.